AGAAUCAACGCUGGCGGCGUGCCUAACACAUGCAAGUCGAACGAGAAAGUGGAGCAAUCCAUGAGUAAAGUGGCGCACGGGUGAGUAACACGUGACUAACCUACCCUUGAGUGGGGGAUAACCUCGGGAAACCGGGGCUAAUACCGCAUAAUAUCGAGAGAUCAAAGGAGCAAUUCGCUUACGGAGGGGGUCGCGGCUGAUUAGCUAGUUGGUGAGGUAAUGGCUCACCAAGGCUAUGAUCAGUAUCCGGCCUGAGAGGGCGCACGGACACACUGGAACUGAAACACGGUCCAGACUCCUACGGGAGGCAGCAGUGGGGAAUUUUGCGCAAUGGGGGAAACCCUGACGCAGCAACGCCGCGUGGAGGAUGAAGUCCCUUGGGACGUAAACUCCUUUCGAUCGGGACGAUAUGACGGUACCGGAAGAAGAAGCCCCGGCUAACUCGUGCCAGCAGCCGC
Molecule: ribosomal RNA, 458 nt
Filed under: uncultured bacterium
Lineage: Bacteria
Description: SSU rRNA
Rfam family: Bacterial small subunit ribosomal RNA
Source: RNAcentral